CCUACGGGUGACAGCAGUGAGGAAUAUUGGUCAAUGGGCGGGAGCCUGAACCAGCCAAGUCGCGUGAGGGAAGACGGUCCUAUGGAUUGUAAACCUCUUUAGGCGGGGAGCAAUGCCGGGCACGCGUGCCCGGAUGGCGAGUACCCGCAGAAUAAGCAUCGGCUAACUCCGUGCCAGCAGCCGCGGUCAUACGGAGGAUGCGCGCGUUAUCCGGAUUUAUUGGGUUUAACGGGUGCGUAGGCGGAUUUUUAAGUCAGCGGUAAACUGUGCGGGCUCAACCCGGGCCGGCCGUUGAAACUGGGGAUCUUGAGUGGGCGAGAAGUAUGCGGAAUGCGUGGUGUAGCGGUGAAAUGCAUAGAUAUCACGCAGAACUCCGAUUGCGAAGGCAGCAUACCGGCGCCCGACUGACGCUGAGGCACGAAAGCGUGGGGAUCGAACAGGAUUAGAUACCCUUGUAGUC
Molecule: ribosomal RNA, 460 nt
Filed under: uncultured bacterium
Lineage: Bacteria
Description: partial 16S ribosomal RNA
Rfam family: Bacterial small subunit ribosomal RNA
Source: RNAcentral